UUACAGGCCUUAUUCCCGGAUUGGGUCUUGUGAGCACAAACCUGGAGACAUACAAGAUCAAUGAGAUGUGAUCGUUGGUAGUAACUAAGGUGGUUUGGUGUUUCAUGAAGUUUUACAGAUUGGUGCUCAUGCCGUGGUGGUAUGCCAGCUGUUGCAGCAUGCAUUAGCAAUCAACGCCAGGACUCCAUAAAAACCCAAAGAGAAGCAGAUGAACAAUGAAGAUAUGCAUAUACCGAGCAUGUAGUGGCAACCUGCAAGUUGCCGGCAUUCUUCAGGGAACUCUGAAGCAUGUGGUUCAAGUAAAUAUUGUACGGUCAGGGAAAAUCUUUGCAUAUUCAGGAGCAGACCGCAAGCUGCUGGUGCAAAAACACAAUUGGUACCGUACAGCAGGCAAAGCUUCACUACAGAGUUCUGCAUAGGGAUAUGCAUUUUGCAAAGGUUUGAUGCAUGAUUGCAGAUGCGUGUAGAUUUCAGCUUGUGCAAGAUAAAAAAAUGAAGAAUGAAUGGCCAUUUUGAAUCACUUGGUGACAUAAUAAUUCGUGGGAUGUAAACUUUGUCACCAAUGAAUUUGACUCAUGAUGUAGGUGUUAAUCUAGUCAACAGUCUCGUUCCUUGGGCACAGGAUCGCUCUUUCCUCUAGGUCUUCUGGGAUGCUAACGCAGUCUUCAUCAUCUAUUGUUGCCGUUGUGCCAUCGCCGAUGUUUAGUAUCCAGUUUGCAAAUUCAGUUGUCUUUGCUUUCUCUUCUGGACUACCUUCGGAUGAAUUCAGACGCAUAUUUUCUGAUUUGUCUGAAGUCACCUCCCAAGACUACUGUCAUUCCUCCAAACGGUCUAUGCUCGGCAUCCUCAUUUGUGAAUUGAAAAUCGAACUAUCUGGUAGUGGCAUUCCUGGAAAUUCUUUGAGGGACUUACCACCUUUAGCCAAUAGGUGUUCGAUCUCUGCCAAGAGGAGGCUCUUUAUUUGCAAUGAGAUCAGUCACCUCGCAAAAUAAAAGUAUUGUGCAGAAAAGUUGGCGCAUUUGAGGAGCAGAGGCCCAAUGGGAUGCUUCCUUGAUGCAGUCAUCCCACUCCUUGUCGUCAUUAAGUAGCCCAAGAGAAUAACAUGCAGAUUUGUAUGUUGGAUGUACAACCCCAUCAACUGUUCGGAUUUCUUCAUAGGAUCUGCAUCCUUUCACGGUAUUUAGAAGCAUUCUCAAGUAGUAUUUUUCACCGCUUGUUGGUUGUGCAUAGUAAAUCCCGCCUAUGGUUUUUUUACCACCACGUCUCUUCCUCCAUUCUUUCUCUUUUGCAUGCCAAGUCCAUUUGGUUGGAAACUGUGCAUACGUCAAACUGCGAGCUUCCUCAUGCAAUUGGUUGGCUGUCAUCCAUUCUGUGAACAUUGUAUUUUCUAUGUUAGGCCGAGAUAUGAUUUUAUCUAAAUCCAUCGAGUCUGGGAAUACCACAGCAUGUUCAUUUUCUAGGUGAAAUUGUAACCUUUCAACCGCAGGCUCUCUAUACUGAAGAGGAAACUGAAAUAUGCGCCAUGCGGCUUCACAUCCAGAUAUGUACCGAGCAUCAAGGUUUCUGGCCUGGAAUCAGAUCCAGCAUAUCCUGUAUUUCCGGCCAUUUCGGAUUGCAUGUAAAAGUGAUGAAGAGAUCAGGAUAGCCAGCCGAACGACAAAUCGCCAUGGCAUCUUGGUAGUUUUGCUGCUUAUUUCUAGGGCUACCAUUAUAUGUUGAGGGUAGUAUGAUUCUUUGGCCAACUUGUUCAGUUCGUGUAUCUCCAUUUUCUAUUGCAUCAUGCAGUCCUCUGUAUAGUUCUGUCCUCAGCUUUCCUUGGUUUGUUGUGUACCAAUUUAGUCUCCAUUGUUCAAUGCACGUUGCUGCAUCAACUAAGAACUGUAGGAACAAACGUCCACUCAUUUGCAAGGUUGUUGCUUGGUUAAGACGUUGUUGGAUGCGAUAUGAAUAAAACUCCAGCAUUGUUACAUACUUUAUCUUACCUUUGUCGCCUAUCUUUUUUUGAUACUCUAUUUCUGGUCUGAACCCAUCUUCUCCAUAUGGAAAAAGCAAGGGGUAUUGCAUUGACAUAUAGCUUGGGUGCAACUCUGAAAUCCUCUGUAACAUUCUGUCUUUGGUCUCAAUUAUUAUAUCAAAUUCAUUAUUUUCUCCAUCUUGUUCCCCAAUAAUUAGUGCUGCAACUUCUGAGGCAGAUGGGAGGCUGUAUUGCCGUCCAUCUUUCGACCUUUUGUUGAUCAAUCUUAGUCUUACAUCUUUAAUAUCUCGGUUUUCGAACCUAUCCCUUGCCAUACGAAACGAUUUGACCAAAACAUUGUGCUCAUCUAGCAUCUCUAGUAGACCUUUGACAAUGUUUUCAUCUGGCUUUGUCUUAAUCUCCAUUGAAGUUGAUGCAGUAAUCCUGUUAUGCACUUCAUUUUCUGUGUCAUGUAUGUACAAUUGGGCAAAUUUUGGUUUUGUCACGUCAUCUUUAGGAAGUAAAGUGCCAAUCUGAUGGUAGUUUUGGCCAUUCAAACGGAAAACAUAUGGUUCAGGUGUCUCCUUAUUAAUUUCAUAGUCAACCUUUCCUCCCAUUGAAGUGAACACGAACAUGGAGUUGUACAACCUGAUGUUCUGGCGAAAAUUGGAUGACUCUCCUCUUUCAUUGUAACGUAGUAGCUGUCGGAGAUACAACGGAGCUUGCUUCAGUGGUGGUAAUUUAAUUUUCCCUUCCUUGCAGCAGAGACCAAACUUUGGAACUGUGAUGUUACGUGUGUUUGUGCUUCUCUCUCCAUGCCACAUAAUGGCAUUGCAAAAUUCCCAAACGCAAUUUGGUUUUCCCAAAUUUGAAACUUGAGUGACAUCCUUUGCUAUAUUUGAUACUUCACAGCCAUUAUUGUCCUUUUCUGUCCUUAUUCGUUUCCUUUCCCUUUUCAGCUGGAGUAUCUCUUUCCUUUUUCGUCUAGCUUCCUUCCUUGCUGCUCUGAUAAUAUCUGAUUGACUAUCAUUAGAUUCUACUGUCGCGAGCUGCGAGGUUCCUUGCUCAGGUACCACAUUGUUUUGAAGGAUGUUGUCUGGAUCAAUCAGUUUCCUGGAAAUAUUCCUGUUCUCCUACUAAUAGUAUGCCAACAAAGAAUUGUAGAUCAUGUACAUGUGUUAUUACCUUUUAAGCAGAGGACAUACUAUAUGGUUUGUAAUUGGCAAACUAAUUUUGAUGAUUGUUCAUCAAUUUCUCUGUAGUUGCAAUUAACAAAGCAUAUGUGAUGAGAUUACGGAGUUGAUGCAUAUAGUAGUGGAAGUUGGUAAUGAAUACCUGCAAGUACUGGCA
Non-coding RNA from Triticum urartu, 3304 nucleotides. NCBI's taxonomy places the organism in Eukaryota, Viridiplantae, Streptophyta, Magnoliopsida, Poales, Poaceae. The record is from RefSeq and is a predicted model, not a curated record.